GUGCUCGCUUUGGCAGCACAAAUACUAACAUUGGAGUGACCCAGAGAAGAUAAGCAUGGCCCCUGCACAAGGAUGACUUGUAAAUUCAUGAAGCAUUCCAUAUUUGA
Small nuclear RNA from Equus asinus (donkey), 107 nucleotides. NCBI's taxonomy places the organism in Eukaryota, Metazoa, Chordata, Mammalia, Perissodactyla, Equidae. The record is from Ensembl.